UCCGAUUGAUCCCGUCGGACCUUACUGCUAUCGAGAUGGGACUAAGCCAGGCCAGUCGAACGACCCGAACUAAGGCGGGAAGUGGCAUACUGCUCAGUAACACGUAGCUAACCUAACCUCAAGACGGAAACAACCCCGGGAAACUGGGGCCAAUUUCCGAUAGAUGUGAAAUCCUGGAAUGGUAUCACAUUCAAACGUCACCACACCAUGUUGUGCGAACGCUUGAGGAUGGGGCUGCGGCCGAUCAGGCUGUUGGUGGGGUAAUGGCCCACCAAACCUUUGACCGGUACGGGCCAUGAGAGUGGUAGCCCGGAGAUGGACACUGAGACAAGGGUCCAGGCCCUACGGGGCGCAGCCGGUACGAAACCUCCACAAUGCACGCAAGUGCGAUGGGGUUAUCUCGAGUGCUACCUUAAUCGGUAGCUUUUCCAUUGUCUAAAUAGCCGUGGGAAUAAGGGGGGGGCAAGACUGGUGUCAGCCGCCGCGGUAACACCAGCCCCCCGAGUGGUGGGGAUGUUUAUUUGGCCUAAAACGUCCGUAGCCAGCUCGGUAAAUCUCUCGUUAAAUCCAGCGUCCUAAGCGUUGGGCUGCGAGAGAGACUGCCAAGCUAGAGGGUGGGAGAGGUCAGCGGUAUUUCUGGGGUAGGGGCGAAAUCCAUUGAUCCCAGGAGGACCACCAGUGGCGAAGGCUGCUGACUAGAACACGCCUGACGGUCAGGGACGAAAGCUGGGGUAGCGAAUCGGAUUAGAUACCCGAGUAGUCCCAGCCGUAAACGAUGCAGACUAGGUGUUGGGUUGGCCACGUGCCGACUCAGUGCCACAGGGAAGCCAUUAAGUCUGCCGCCUGGGAAGUACGGCCGCAAGGCUGAAACUUAAAGGAAUUGGCGGGGGAGCACCACCAGGCGUGAAGCCUGCGGUUUAAUUGGAGUCAACGCCGGGAACCUUACCGGGAGCGAGGCCAGAUUGAAGAUCUUGCCAGACGAGCUGAGAGGAGGUGCAUGGCCGUCGCCAGUUCGUGCCGUGAGGUGUUCUCUUAAGUGAGAUAACGAACGAGACCCGUGCCACAUGUUGCCACCAGUAUCUAAAGGAUAGCUGAGCACUCUUGUGGGACCGCAGCCGAUAAGGCUGAGGAAGGUACGGGCAACGGCAGGUCAGUAUGCCCCGAAUCUCCCGGGCCACACGCGGGCUGCAAUGG
Molecule: ribosomal RNA, 1194 nt
Filed under: marine sediment metagenome
Description: bacterial SSU rRNA
Rfam family: Archaeal small subunit ribosomal RNA
Source: RNAcentral